UACGUAGGGUGCAAGCGUUAAUCGGAAUUACUGGGCGUAAAGCGUGCGCAGGCGGCUAUGCAAGACAGAUGUGAAAUCCCCGGGCUCAACCUGGGAACUGCAUUUGUGACUGCAUGGCUAGAGUACGGUAGAGGGGGAUGGAAUUCCGCGUGUAGCAGUGAAAUGCGUAGAUAUUCGGAAGAACACCAGUGGCGAAGGCGGCUCACUGGCCCGUUACCGACGCUCAGGCGCGACAGCGUGGGGAGCAAACAGG
Molecule: ribosomal RNA, 253 nt
Filed under: uncultured prokaryote
Description: partial 16S ribosomal RNA
Rfam family: Bacterial small subunit ribosomal RNA
Source: RNAcentral